This 1082-nucleotide long non-coding RNA is filed under the name Nicotiana benthamiana. RNAcentral's name for it is "long non-coding RNA (NBEN_LNC033523)". The record is from RNAcentral. Lineage: Eukaryota; Viridiplantae; Streptophyta; Magnoliopsida; Solanales; Solanaceae.
CAAGUGCGAGUACAAGUGACAAAUUUAAAGAAAAACAAAAUAAAAUAAAUAAAAACUAGUAGAAACACAUGAAACAGAUAGAGCUAAAGAACAAUAACAAAGCUGAAAAUUUGAUAUUCACUCUCAACAGGAAACAAAGAUUGUACGUCAGUUCCUACGACAAUUAAAACAAGCAGACUCUAAUAGAAAACAUAUUAAUCACAAUUGCAUCAACUUGAACAUUGGCAACCACAAUAUGUGAAUCAUUUUCUUUACUUUGAAGAGCACGAAACAGUAGAAGUAAACACAAACAGUCUUUUCAAAUGCAGAACUAAUUCAGAAACAGAUAUUCAAACACGAACCCAUUGAACAAUAACUAUUAGGAUCCUGCAAUUUCACAAUUCUUCUUUAAGUCCCAAACCCAACGUCACUGGCUCUUAUCACAUUUUCAAUUGAGCAAAAUUGGCACAAAAGAAUCAGAAACGAACCUGAAUGCGUGCUAAUUUCGAUUAUGUCUUGAAGUGAAUACAAGCAGAGGGAAAGCUUAACAUUGAAUUCCAAAAAGACCAGAAACAGCUAUUGAAAUCCCUAAUUGAAUUAGAACCGCUACGGAAUCCACAAUGAACAGCAACGAUGAUAAACUCGAACCAUGAAACUUGAAUCGCGCUCGACUGAGCCUCCGGCAUCGAAUAAUCGCAUAUUUCAAAAUUAGAAACCAAAGAAUAAGCUGAAAAUGUUUAUGUUUAUGUUCCAAAUCAGACCCACAGAACUGAAGAAGAAUAAGAAAAUCAAAAGCUAAAUCUGGGCCUCAUUUUUUUUACUUCUGUCCAAAAAUUGGCCUGAAUUUUCAGCCUAGUCCAUGUGUACCGUGAUCGUGGGGUGGAAGAUGGUUGUGGCUGAUUGUUGCAUUUUGGUUGAAGAACGGCUAAAGGAGAUGGAAAAUAUGGUCGUUGGUUCGAGAAGAAGCUGAGUAGUGGCGAAUUGAGGAAAACGAUGAUUGGAGGUCCUUAGCGGCUGAUUGCCCUCUCCCUGUCUUUAGCAAAAAGAGAGUAUACAUAGGCUACUUUCCCCUUUUGACACUUCCACCUUUUGGGAAUACCAAC